Molecule: ribosomal RNA, 250 nt
Filed under: uncultured archaeon
Lineage: Archaea
Description: partial 16S ribosomal RNA
Rfam family: Archaeal small subunit ribosomal RNA
Source: RNAcentral
UCCCCGCAGUCCAAGUCGCAACCACAUUUGUUGGGUCUAAAACAUCCGUAGCCAGCUCAGUAAGUCUCCUGUGAAAUCCGGCCUCUCAAGGGUCGAAGAGCGGGAGAUACUGCAGAGCUAGGGACCGGGAGGCGUAACGAGUACGUACAGAGUACCGGUAAAAUGGGUUGAUCCUGUACGGACUAACAACCGCGAAGGCACGUUACGAGCACGGAUCCGACGGUGAGGGAUGAAGGCUAGGGGCGCAAAG